UCCGUAGGUGGCAAGCGUUGUCCGGAAUUAUUGGGCGUAAAGCGCGCGCAGGCGGUCCUUUAAGUCUGAUGUGAAAGCCCACGGCUCAACCGUGGAGGGUCAUUGGAAACUGGGGGACUUGAGUGCAGAAGAGGAGAGUGGAAUUCCACGUGUAGCGGUGAAAUGCGUAGAGAUGUGGAGGAACACCAGUGGCGAAGGCGACUCUCUGGGCCUACCCUGACGCUGAGGAGCGAAAGCGUGGGGAGCAAACCGG
RNAcentral lists this ribosomal RNA (253 nucleotides) under uncultured bacterium. RNAcentral's name for it is "partial 16S ribosomal RNA". It matches the Rfam family "Bacterial small subunit ribosomal RNA", at positions 524 to 776 of the family's 1533-position model. The record is from RNAcentral.